UCAGACGAUGCGUCAUGCAUAUCAAUAAGCGGAGGAAAAGAAACUAACAAGGAUUCCCUUAGUAACGGCGAGUGAAGCGGGAAGAGCUCAAAUUUGAAAUCUUCAAGGUUUUACCUUGACGAAUUGUAGUUUAAAGAAGUGUUUUCUGUUGAAGUUUUGGUAAAAGUUCUUUGGAAUAGGACAUCAUAGAGGGUGAGAAUCCCGUAUUUGACCAUUAUUUUCAGCUGUGUGAUACACUUUCAAAGAGUCGGAUUGUUUGGGAAUGCAGUCCAAAAUGGGUGGUAAAUUUCAUCUAAAGCUAAAUAGUUGGCGAGAGACCGAUAGCGAACAAGUACCGUGAGGGAAAGAUGAAAAGAACUUUGAAAAGAGAGUUAAACAGUACGUGAAAUUGUCAAAAGGGAAGCGUUUGACACCAGUGUUGUUUUCUCGAAAAUCAAUAAAAAAGAGUUGGAUUUUGUGUUGUAUUGACCUUAACAGCUUGCUUCACUCUUUUCCUGCUUUUUUUUAAUGCACUUUUCGUUUAACAAGUCAACAUCAGUUUCUUUUGUUGUAAAAGGGUCAUUGGAAGGUGGCUUUCUCUUCGGAGAAAGUGUUUAUAGCCUUUGAUCUCUGCAAUCGGAGAGACUGAGGUCUGCAGCGUAGAUCCUUCGGGGUUAGAUACAUUUGUGCUAAGCUACAGCUUUUCAUAGACAACUUGUUGACUAUGUUUAGUCUUGUAACUUACCCGCUUAUGCUAUGUUACCUACGCUUAGGAUGUUGAUAUGCAUGACUGAUAU
Molecule: ribosomal RNA, 776 nt
Filed under: uncultured Neocallimastigales
Lineage: Eukaryota; Fungi; Neocallimastigomycota; Neocallimastigomycetes; Neocallimastigales
Description: partial large subunit ribosomal RNA
Rfam family: Eukaryotic large subunit ribosomal RNA
Source: RNAcentral